This 152-nucleotide ribosomal RNA is filed under the name Metus conglomeratus. RNAcentral describes it as "5.8S ribosomal RNA". It matches the Rfam family "5.8S ribosomal RNA". From Rfam's summary of the family: 5.8S ribosomal RNA (5.8S rRNA) is a component of the large subunit of the eukaryotic ribosome. Lineage: Eukaryota; Fungi; Ascomycota; Lecanoromycetes; Lecanorales; Cladoniaceae. The record is from RNAcentral.
CUUUCAACAACGGAUCUCUUGGUUCUGGCAUCGAUGAAGAACGCAGCGAAAUGCGAUAAGUAAUGUGAAUUGCAGAAUUCAGUGAAUCAUCGAAUCUUUGAACGCACAUUGCGCCUCUCGGUAUUCCGAGGGGCAUGCCUGUUCGAGCGUCA